Molecule: ribosomal RNA, 402 nt
Filed under: Verrucomicrobiota bacterium
Lineage: Bacteria; Pseudomonadati; Verrucomicrobiota
Description: Verrucomicrobia bacterium partial 16S ribosomal RNA
Rfam family: Bacterial small subunit ribosomal RNA
Source: RNAcentral
UGGGGAAUUUUGCACAAUGGGGGAAACCCUAAUGCAGCGACGCCGCGUGAUUUAGAAGGCCUUCGGGUUGUAAAAAUCUUUUUUAUGGGAUGAAAAUGACAGUACCAUAAGAAUAAGGUCCGGCUAAAUACGUGACAGCAGCCGCGGUAAUACGUAUGGACCGAGCGUUGUCCGGAAUCAUUGGGCGUAAAGGGUACGUAGGCGGCCCAGUAAGUUAGAAGUGAAAUAAUAUAGCUCAACUAUAUAAAGCUUUUAAAACUGCUAGGCUUGAGAGAUGGAAGGGAAAGUGGAAUUCCUAGUGUAGCGGUGAAAUGCGCAGAUAUUAGGAAGAAUACCGGUGGCGAAGGCGACUUUCUGGUCAUCAUCUGACGCUGAGGUACGAAAGCGUGGGUAGCAAACAGG